Molecule: unclassified non-coding RNA, 92 nt
Filed under: Ferrimonas marina
Lineage: Bacteria; Pseudomonadati; Pseudomonadota; Gammaproteobacteria; Alteromonadales; Ferrimonadaceae
Source: RNAcentral
CGAGCGUCGUCCGCGCCGCGACCGCGACAACUUCGGUAAUCAGUAAUCGCUGAUUAACGCCAAAACGCCGCCCCUCGGGGCGGCGUUUUUGU